GACGAACGCUGGCGGCGUGCUUAACACAUGCAAGUCGUACGGUAAGGCCCUUUCGGGGGUACACGAGUGGCGAACGGGUGAGUAACACGUGAGUAACCUGCCCACAACUUUGGGAUAACGCUAGGAAACUGGUGCUAAUACUGGAUAUGUGCUCCUGCUGCAUGGUGGGGGUUGGAAAGCUCCGGCGGUUGUGGAUGGACUCGCGGCCUAUCAGCUUGUUGGUGGGGUAGUGGCCUACCAAGGCGGCGACGGGUAGCCGGCCUGAGAGGGUGACCGGCCACAUUGGGACUGGGAGACGCCCCGGCCCCCACCGGGGGGCAGCGGGGGGAAUUAUUGCACAGGGGGCCCAAGCCGGAGGCACCACCGCCGCGUGCGGAAUGCCGGCCUGGGGUUUGUAAACCGCUUUCAGCGGGGACGAAGCUUUUUGGGCGGGUCCCGGCAGAAGAAGCCCCGGUUACCUCGGG
This 464-nucleotide ribosomal RNA is filed under the name uncultured bacterium. Its description in RNAcentral is "partial 16S ribosomal RNA". It matches the Rfam family "Bacterial small subunit ribosomal RNA", at positions 28 to 506 of the family's 1533-position model. The record is from RNAcentral.